GGACUGGCUGCUCAGACUCCACAAUUUAAUGAAAAAUCUCAGAUGAUGACUCAGAAAACCUCUAAUGAUCUGAGGAAUAUAUUAAGGGAUUCCAGAGUCAAAGGCUGAUCAUGGAGGGCAUUGAUGAGGGAAGACUUCAGCACGUUUUUCAGCACCAGGACAAGCAUCAUUGCUCAAGGAGAGCUUGGUUGACAACAGGAAGUUAGAAGGAGUCUGAAUUGUAACAAGUGUGGCAAGAGCACCAAGAUCACUCUGUGUGUGUUCACAGAAAAUGUACCAAAGGGAGAGGCCUUAAAAACAAAUGGCAGGUGUGGGCACCAGAGAAUCAACACAUCAGGAAGAGAAAAAUGGCAUGGUUUUAGUGUAAUUGUAAAAAGACGCCCUAAAGAGUGUCUAUCGGAUCACCCUCAGGUUGGGUCAAACGCUCCUCUUCUCGGCUUUUCGGGAGCAACCCUAUCUCAACAUUCACCAUCUUAAGAUGAGCAGACUGCAAGUUUGCCUCUCCCACCAGCAUGGGAGCUGCCGAAGCGGCAAGAACAGCGUUUCCGUCCACCGAGCGCCAGGUCACCAGUCAGCUCCAGUCCUAUUUUGAGUUGAAGUAAAAGCUCCUCCCUAGAUGGCCAGUGCACGUCUUUAAAAAGCGACUCCUUUCCCACAAAGGAAAUACGACUGGUUCGCAUCUAUCAAGGGUUGGCGUUGGGAUAAGAGAGUGAAGUAUCAGCUGGCCCUGGACAAGGAGAUUCUCUGAAUUCCCGGACCCAAUAACGCGACCAAGCACCGUGACUCCCAGGAAAACUAGCGGAGUGAGCGCGGCGGAGGAAAUUACUGACACCGGAAGUCACGUGAGCGGCUGCCCCUAAGGUCGCUAUCUCGACAGUCGACUAUUCAGCCUCGCAGGCUCCUCUGGCGGGCUUCACU
RNAcentral lists this non-coding RNA (918 nucleotides) under Pan troglodytes (chimpanzee). The record is from RNAcentral. Lineage: Eukaryota; Metazoa; Chordata; Mammalia; Primates; Hominidae.